Molecule: unclassified non-coding RNA, 329 nt
Filed under: soil metagenome
Description: partial contains 5.8S ribosomal RNA, internal transcribed spacer 2, and large subunit ribosomal RNA
Rfam family: 5.8S ribosomal RNA (bases 1-120)
Source: RNAcentral
GAUGAAGAACGCAGCGAAAUGCGAUAAGUAAUGUGAAUUGCAGAAUUCAGUGAAUCAUCGAAUCUUUGAACGCACAUUGCGCCCCCUGGUAUUCCGGGGGGCAUGCCUGUCCGAGCGUCAUUACAACCCUCAGGCUCAGCUUGGUGUUGGGCCCCGCCGCCCCGGCGGGCCCUAAAGUCAGUGGCGGUGCCGUCCGGCUCCGAGCGUAGUAAUUCUUCUCGCUCUGGAGGUCCGGUCGUGUGCUCGCCAGCAACCCCCAAUUUUUUUCAGGUUGACCUCGGAUCAGGUAGGGAUACCCGCUGAACUUAAGCAUAUCAAUAAGCGGAGGA